GACCGUGUAGCUCAGUUGGCAGAGCAUUGGGCUAGUGUUCCAAAGGUCAUAGGUUCGAUUCCCACCGUGGCCA
This 73-nucleotide transfer RNA is filed under the name Paramuricea clavata. It matches the Rfam family "tRNA". From Rfam's summary of the family: Transfer RNA (tRNA) molecules are approximately 80 nucleotides in length. Their secondary structure includes four short double-helical elements and three loops (D, anti-codon, and T loops). The record is from Rfam by way of RNAcentral. Lineage: Eukaryota; Metazoa; Cnidaria; Anthozoa; Malacalcyonacea; Plexauridae.